GGCAAAUCCAAAGAAAAUCAAAGGCAAAAUUUGUCCUCCAUUUCAUCUUGAAGGCAAAGUGGUUACGCGUGCGCGUGCGCCCUUAAAUCCCACAAUUACAUAUUAAUGGUCGAGCAAACGCGAAUGUGACUUUGGCCGAAAAAGUUUUCUACACCAAAAAGGCAAAGACAAAGUGUUUGGAGAUGGACACCAGCCGCCUUACUGUUAAAACGUGCCAAUAACGUUCCAGCUUGUGUGGAAGCUGGUUAUUGCAACUCUAAGACAGAAGAGGAGAAGAACUUACCUGUUUACGAUAAAGGAGUGAAAAGUAUCGUCGAGGGACUUGUCAACAACGAAUUUCAGUCAUGGUCCUCAUCUUUACAGACCGGUGAUGCUAGCUAAAGACCCAGAAGGAGCUACAAACAUUCAGGUCUCUCAGAGGAACACUGAGGAGAAAUAUGCUGCAACGGCUGAGGCAGCAGUAAUGGAGGAUACAGCCAAGCAAGCCUUGACCCUCUGAACUCGCAGUGUCAUAUCCAUCUCAUCACGCUGACUCCUUCAAGAGGGGGUGGACCUUGAAUGCAACCCAGUGUCGUGCAACUUUCAAAUCUGAAGAAUGAUGGGAGUGUGGUCAGAGGCAAGGCUGGAGGAGGAGGGUUUUCACUUACAUUAGAGAAUGAUAACCUAGUAAACAAGGUUUUAGUGAUUUGCAGGUCAAAAGACAUCUAGACAUCAAGGUUACAUUUUUUGAUCAUCUGCUGGACAUAUUACCAUUGUUUUAAUGACAUUUCAAAGACUUUUUUGUGUAGUUAAGAUACAGUCAUUAAUCUUGAAAUCAGUCAUCUUGCACAAAAGCUGGUGUAGAGCUGGCUGCACUCAUUUGAACUGGACUAUAUAUUGUAAAUGCUGAUACUUUUAUGUUUAGUUGGUAAAAGGGCGUGUCCAUCUACAUCUAGAUCACACCAGUGAUCUCCAGAGACGCAGACCUGGAAAUAUAAUUGAAUGUUGUUAUAUUUGUGAUGCUUUAUGAUGAUCUCUGACAGGUAUUCAGACUCUGUAGCGUCUAAAAAUGGCAGCUGACUCUCUCUCCCAGUAAAAGCCUUUUUAAGGCUCCUCUGAGAUUAAUAACAGUGUUAGCCUAAUGAGUAUUUGGGGUUCAGGCUAAAGCACAUCCAAUGAUUUCGGCUCUGUGUACAAAGAACCUUUCACAGCUGUUCUGGUGGGCUUGGGGUUGCUGAAAUAGGUUUGGUUAGGAGGACUCUGGGAAAGGUAAUGGGUGGUUAGGUAAUUUCAACAGACAUAGGCACUAGACUGGUGCCAUUAUUUGCGAGGAAGAGUCAGAGAGAGGUAGAGAAAGCGAGAGGAGGCGGGACAUCCAGAGACAGUCAGAGACAGAGGGUGAUUAGGGUUAGACAUGGUGCCACAGCUAGGCUGGAUCUAUAGAAAUAGCCUCUUAACAUGAUAUAUGAGGUACACACAAAAAAACAACAACUCGCAGAGCUGGUGACGGUAGCAUUGUGCUGCCAGUAAGGCUGGAAAAAAAUAACCGGGUAAGUAGUGUUAUAUAUCUUGCGCCACAGUUAUCAGGAACCAUUGAUAUACUAGAGUUGCAGUCGCCCUGCAUGCAUUUAUUCUGAAUUAGGAGUGCUGUUUUGUUGAGUGUACUUACACACAAAAAUUUUGUAUUGGCCAGCUGCUCUGCAGUUUCUGCUCUUUUUUCUACAGCUGCAAUACCCAGAUUUUUUCUUGGAACACAAAUUUUUUUACUGCUGGUAGGUUAUUGCUUUUAGAGGAGUUAGAGAUGUUCUUGUCUUCUUUGAAAUAUGGCUUCUAACUAAAAUAUAGACUUAAAUACUCUCUGGAUUAAAUACUUUACGUACAGAGUUUCCGUGCUUUGAUUUCCUGAAAAUUUAGUAUAUUGUUGUUAAUAGGAUUAUAGCAGCUAGCAUGUGGAAGGAUUUCAAUCACUGGCCAUCAAAUCAGUUGCUCGCACCCCUUUUACAUGCACUGUGGUACAGAGCAUUGCAAUUGUUGCCAUGGCUUAAAGUGAAUGACUUCAUCGUAAAAAAUUUGGUCCUUUUAGUUUUGUUUGUUCGAUAUUUUUUUACAUUGUUAAAUGUAUUUUACUAUGGUGCUGAGCACUCUGCUCAGCUGGGAAAGGUCCUGCAGAGAGUGAUGGUGUUCCCUUUACAUACUGCAGGGUGGGCUACCUGUAGACAAUACUUUCGUUUGCACCUUUGUCUGCCUUGUGCUAGAGGACAAUGAGCCCUACAUUUCUACCAUAGUUCAUUCUUUAUCAUUUGUAAUGAUUGCAUCACUAUGUUUUGUAUAAGGAGAAGAGUGCUUACAUAAAACACAUUUCCAAAUAGCAUCAGCAAUUUAGUCAUUUAGUCAAUUUUGUGCAUAAAGGCAGCAGCAGUGAUGGCCUUAAGAUGACAUAAAUGAGCUUGGAAUUGACAGGCUGUCAGUGUGAAACCUUGCACUGAUAAGGAAGAGAAAUUAUUAAGAAUUAAUGGAAGAUGGUUUAUCAGUGAUGAACCUGAACCCCUUCUACAACAUAGAUCCACAGAGUUGCAAGUAAACUGAAGACUUGAGACACUGUAGCUUUUUGGGCUUAUGCCACGCUCACAAUCGUAAAACGUGUGAUUACAAGUUGGAGAUAACAGCAAUUUCUGACAACUACAUUAUCUCCCAUUUGGCAAAAAGAACUUCAGAGAUAUCACAAAACAGGUGCCAAAAUGACUGUAAAGCUACAAUCAUCUGCAGUACAAUGUAAAUGAAAUCCAUGACACCAAUACAUUUGAUUUAGCUUUUAAAAAAGAAACUACAAAGCCUACACGGUAUGCUUGUAUCUCGUUUAACUUGUUAAGAACUACUACCAAUAUAAAACUUUUGGCUUCAUCUGGUAUGACUGCGUGCUAGCAAUGUGGGUAACCAUCUUGGGAUAAUGCAUGAAUGCUACCGAGUCGUAAUCAUGUUUUUUUGCUUUGAGAUUAGUUUUCACACUGCUGACAUGGAAUGAAUGCAUCAUUGAUGUUGGAAGCAAGGAAUGGCUGAAAAACAAUACAUAAAGAUGGUUUUAUAUCCUAUGUUCCUUCAAGGCUAUCCUAUAAUGCAUCACACACAUGCUGUGAAAAUCCCUUUACAUUAAUAUUGUCUCUUCCUGUGUGAAUUGUGUUACAAGGAUGGUUUGGUCAUUUUGAACAGCAGUGCUGCCACUCUGGUGCACUUUCUCCCUCCCUCUCAGGGAGAUGGAGAAAAUAUGGACGAGCAUGGAGAAAAUUACAUAAAAGCAGCAGAUCUGUAUCUUUAUGAUAAUGGUUCCAUUAUGUGCUGAAUUACAUGUUCGUGGUUUUGCAAUUCCAGUUAAAAAAAAACAUGGGGUACUGUUUGAGAGUAGCUUUUUUUUCCUCCCUGCAUUUGUGUGUUCAUCCCUUAACAAGUUAGUACAUUUCGUGACAUCUCUAGCUUUCACUUCCUGAUUUUUUUUUAACCUAAAAGCAAAAAGAUGAAUAAUCUAAACCAUCUGUGCCAAACUUGUGAUUGUUUCAUUUAACUAUGCACCCGUUGUAGUUGUACUUGUGUCUUCAUCAACGCCAGUGCAAUGCCCACACAUUUGUAAAAACAGUGCAGACAUCCCAUCAUCACUGGAGAGAUGAACACUGUUAGCAAACUCCAGCCAUUACAUCAUUACA
Molecule: long non-coding RNA, 3674 nt
Organism: Siniperca chuatsi (mandarin fish)
Lineage: Eukaryota; Metazoa; Chordata; Actinopteri; Centrarchiformes; Sinipercidae
Exons: 4
Source: RefSeq, a predicted model, not a curated record